Molecule: long non-coding RNA, 1514 nt
Organism: Homo sapiens (human)
Lineage: Eukaryota; Metazoa; Chordata; Mammalia; Primates; Hominidae
Product: MIR3681 host gene
Source: Ensembl
ACACACUCUUAUUUCAUCCGGCCUGGGGAGGAGGGGAAAGAGGAAGUCACCUGUGAAAUUGUCUUUGCGCUUUGGACUCAAGCCCCCAGAUGCCUUUGGAUAAUUUCUGCUUGCUAAAGAGGCGGGGCCUUAGUCCUCAUCGGCCGAUGGUUUGGAGACUGAAUCAACUAUCUGAGCCUUCAUCUACCACAUAAGAAUUGCAGCAAACCCUGCAGCUAUCCUGAAGCUGCCAUGCUGAAAAGGCCAAUUGGGAGACCACAUAGAGACCGAGAGAGACUUCCAAGGACUCCAGCCAAUCCUGGGCCCCAGCAGUUUGAAUCUCCCAGCAAUGCCACCAUACAGGAGAGGGAGCAAAUACUCAGAAGAUUCAAGUGCCAGCUGCAUGGGUUGAUACCUACAUAAAAGGCAUUGGCAUUAUUCACAAGAGCCAAGAUAUGGAAAUAACCUGUGUCCAUUGACAGACGAAUAGAUGAGGGAAACGUGGCAUAUACACACAGUGGAAUAUUAUUCGGAAUUAAAAAAAGAAGGAAAUCCUGAAUCCUGCUAUUUCUGACAACAUGAGACUGCAGGACGUUAUGGGAUUCUUUUCCCUGCUGCAUCUGCCUGCUUAUCAGAGGCUCCUGGGAUUCUGAGAGUGAUCUUCUACAGGAAGCCGUUGAGAAGGGCAUUGGGUCUUUUGUUACCAGGCACAAUGAAGGAAUGGAAACUAGGGCUCAGAGGUUUCACUUGCCAGAAGUCACUCGGUCCCUGGGAAGGAUGCAAACCAGCUCACCUGGCUCUCCAGCACAUGCACCCCAGACCACCCCCAAGGAUGUGACCCAUUCCUUCUGUGGAGUCUGAUCUUCCAAACUUUAGACAACAGCUCCUUCUGCAAGCUUUCGAGCCUGCAAGCUAAGGACAUGAAUGAACUGAGUCAUCCCCACAGAGCUUCAUUAAUUUUAAGGCAAUUUAAGAUUUCUGAGUCAUAGGUUUCAGUCAUUUAGAUUUUCCCAGCUGGUACUGUACUUGCCCACACACACUUUUCUUUAAAGAUUGCAUCUGUCUAGAUGUGUGGUUCUGCCCACCCUUCCUCAGUUUCUGAGAAGAAACUCGCCCUCGUGGAGUGCUACAUGCAGGGCUAAGCCAUUUCCAUUUGCCACGUGCAUUAGAGUCUUUGCCUGAGGGAUUAAUGGGAUUAGCAGUCUGCAGCUUGAUCUAGACUCUAUCCACCAGAGACAUGCACAAUUCCAAAUUCUAUAUCCAACACAAUAUUUUACCCAGUCUCCCAAGAAAAUUCAGUUAUGCCAUAUGGUGACUCCACUCACUGAAUAAUAUUUAGCAACUUGAUGAACAAGGACUGAAUCAUAUCUUAACCAUCUUGGCCAAAUAUUGUUUUAUAUAGCAACAGUAUUAGUAAUAUAUAUGUUUUAUUUUUUACACUAGUACUUCCUGCUACGCCCACUGAAAAUUAAGAGCUAGACCUCACUGGAAGUAGACUACACAAUAAAAGAGUUCUCGCUCAUUAGCAACCUCCA